CUUGUGGAAUGAUUAUGUUGUUAUCUGCAUUAAAAUAUAUAGCUUUAAAGAAAUGGGCCUUCUCUCCAUCUUUAAAAGCCCAUAACUUGGUCUAUAGGACUCGGAAUUCAAUAUGGCCUACCUUUAUGAGCUUGUGGAAUUAUUAUGUUGUUAUCUGCACUAAAAUAUAUAACUUAAAAGAUGUUUUACAGAAAUGGGCCUUCUCCCCAUCCUUAAAAGCCCA
Drosophila subpulchrella is the source of this 223-nucleotide long non-coding RNA. RefSeq lists it as uncharacterized. The record is from RefSeq and is a predicted model, not a curated record. The transcript is spliced from 3 exons. Lineage: Eukaryota; Metazoa; Arthropoda; Insecta; Diptera; Drosophilidae.